Molecule: small nuclear RNA, 107 nt
Filed under: Cervus elaphus hippelaphus
Lineage: Eukaryota; Metazoa; Chordata; Mammalia; Artiodactyla; Cervidae
Also listed under: 1 other name
Source: RNAcentral
GUGCUCGCUUCAGCAGCACAUAUACUAAAAUUGGAACGAUACAGAGAAGAUUAGCAUGGCCCCUGCACAAGGAUGACACAUAAAUUUGUGAAGCGUUCCAUAUUUUU